UACGUAGGGUGUAAGCGUUGUCCGGAAUUAUUGGGCGUAAAGAGCUCGUAGGCGGUCUGUCGCGUCGGAUGUGAAAAUCCAGGGCUCAACCCUGGACCUGCAUUCGAUACGGGCAGACUAGAGUUCGGUAGGGGAGACUGGAAUUCCUGGUGUAGCGGUGAAAUGCGCAGAUAUCAGGAGGAACACCGGUGGCGAAGGCGGGUUGCUGGGCUGAUACUGACGCUGAGGCGCGAAAGCCAGGGGAGCGAACGGG
RNAcentral lists this ribosomal RNA (253 nucleotides) under uncultured bacterium. Its description in RNAcentral is "partial 16S ribosomal RNA". It matches the Rfam family "Bacterial small subunit ribosomal RNA", at positions 524 to 776 of the family's 1533-position model. The record is from RNAcentral.